UAAGAUAAGGAAACGUUUUAAAAAAU
RNAcentral lists this non-coding RNA (26 nucleotides) under Rattus norvegicus (Norway rat). Lineage: Eukaryota; Metazoa; Chordata; Mammalia; Rodentia; Muridae. The record is from RNAcentral.